RNAcentral lists this ribosomal RNA (386 nucleotides) under uncultured bacterium. RNAcentral describes it as "bacterial SSU rRNA". It matches the Rfam family "Bacterial small subunit ribosomal RNA", at positions 335 to 704 of the family's 1533-position model. The record is from RNAcentral.
ACUCCUACGGGAGGCAGCAGUGGGAAUAUUGCACAAUGGGGGAAAGCCCAUCGAUGCAGCCAUGCCGCGUGUGUGAAGAAGGCCUUCGGGCUUGGUUAAAGACACUUUUCAGUAGGGAGGAAGGUAGUGUAGUUAACACCUGCAUUAUUUGACGUUACCUACAGAAGAAGCACCGGCUAACUCCGUGCCAGCAGCCGCGGUAAUACGGAGGGUGCGAGCGUUAAUCGGAAUUACUGGGCGUAAAGCGCAUGCAGGCGGCCUGUUAAGUCAGAUGUGAAAGCCCGGGGCUUAACCUCGGAAUUGCAUUUGAAACUGGCAGGCUAGAGUCUUGUAGAGGGGGUGAGAAUUGAUCAGGUGUAGCGGUGAAAUGCGUAGAGAUCUGAAGG